CAUAUCAAUAAGCGGAGGAAAAGAAACUAACAAGGAUUCCCCUAGUAACUGCGAGUGAAGCGGGAAAAGCUCAAAUUUAAAAUCUGGCAGCCUUUGGUUGUCCGAGUUGUAAUCUAGAGAAGUGUUAUCCGCGCUGGACCGUGUACAAGUCUCCUGGAAUGGAGCGUCAUAGAGGGUGAGAAUCCCGUCUUUGACACGGACUGCCAGGGCUUUGUGAUGCGCUCUCAAAGAGUCGAGUUGUUUGGGAAUGCAGCUCAAAAUGGGUGGUAAAUUCCAUCUAAAGCUAAAUAUUGGCGAGAGACCGAUAGCGAACAAGUACCGUGAGGGAAAGAUGAAAAGAACUUUGGAAAGAGAGUUAAACAGUACGUGAAAUUGCUGAAAGGGAAACGCUUGAAGUCAGUCGCGUUGUCCAGGGAUCAACCUUGCUUUUGCUUGGUGCACUUUCUGGUUGACGGGUCAGCAUCAAUUUUGACUAUUGGAAAAAGAUUAGGGGAAUGUGGCAUCUUUGGAUGUGUUAUAGCCCUUAGUUGCAUACAAUGGUUGGGAUUGAGGAACUCAGCACGCCGCAAGGCCGGGUUUUUAACCACGUACGUGCUUAGGAUGCUGGCAUAAUGGCUUUAAUCGACCCGUCUUGAAACACGGACCAAGGAGUCUAACAUGCCUGCGAGUGUUUGGGUGGAAAACCCGAGCGCGUAAUGAAAGUGAAAGUUGAGAUCCCUGUCGUGGGGAGCAUCGACGCCCGGACCAGACCUUUUGUGACGGUUCCGCGGUAGAGCAUGUAUGUUGGGACCCGAAAGAUGGUGAACUAUGCCUGAAUAGGGUGAAGCCAGAGGAAACUCUGGUGGAGGCUCGUAGCGAUUCUGACGUGCAAAUCGAUCGUCAAAUUUGGGUAUAGGGGCGAAAGACUAAUCGAACCAUCUAGUAGCUGG
This 929-nucleotide ribosomal RNA is filed under the name Cortinarius sp. PDD 113374. Its description in RNAcentral is "partial large subunit ribosomal RNA". It matches the Rfam family "Eukaryotic large subunit ribosomal RNA", at positions 39 to 954 of the family's 3401-position model. The record is from RNAcentral. Lineage: Eukaryota; Fungi; Basidiomycota; Agaricomycetes; Agaricales; Cortinariaceae.